GAUCAGGUGGCCGAGUUGGUCUAAGGCGUACGGUUCAGGUCCGUAUCUCUUCGGAGGCGCGAGUUCGAAUCUCGUCCUGAUCA
Molecule: transfer RNA, 83 nt
Organism: Salpingoeca sp.
Lineage: Eukaryota; Choanoflagellata; Craspedida; Salpingoecidae
Rfam family: tRNA
About the family: Transfer RNA (tRNA) molecules are approximately 80 nucleotides in length.
Source: Rfam